AUGUGCUUCCAUAGCACCUUCAUGCCUGGGACGCCGAAGAUUUCAAUCCUGGGUUGCUGUCAUGGUGGUGAUGAGUCUCAGAAAUCUCAGAACCAUGGAGCCUGCAUGUGGCUAAGAGCUUGGGCUCUAACCUCAGAGUCUGAACCCCUAUUUUUGCCUAAGGCAAGAAGAAUGAAUUGGAAGAGCAGUACCAGAAAAAUGCAGCUUACUCGUCAUUUGCCAGAACUGAGUCACGAGGGCCACCUCUACCUGCAGGGCGAUCUGAGAAGGUACGUUCGCUUUCUUGCAUCUCUAAAAAGGGAAAGAGAAUGGAAAUCAAUGUUGGAAUGA
This 330-nucleotide long non-coding RNA is filed under the name Ursus thibetanus thibetanus. Its description in RNAcentral is "lncRNA (ENSUTTG00000019743.1)". Lineage: Eukaryota; Metazoa; Chordata; Mammalia; Carnivora; Ursidae. The record is from RNAcentral.